RNAcentral lists this transfer-messenger RNA (346 nucleotides) under Treponema sp. It matches the Rfam family "transfer-messenger RNA". Rfam says of the family: Bacterial tmRNA, also known as 10Sa RNA or SsrA, is named for its dual tRNA and mRNA-like properties. Lineage: Bacteria; Pseudomonadati; Spirochaetota; Spirochaetia; Treponematales; Treponemataceae. The record is from RNAcentral.
GGGGGUGCACCGGUUUCGACUGGUACGGUUCGGGGUACAGGCCGCAGGUGGAGCGCCGAUCUCCUGAUUCGGCAACAAUUUAACUGCCAACAAUGACAGUUACGGUUACGCCUUAGCUGCGUAAUCGCGUGGAACCGUUCCGCCGCUCUGAGGGACGGCUUCCGCGUCGCAAUCAGGGCUGGUCCAGUUCCGCUUCCAGACGGAACGCGAUGAGAUAACUCUGGAAUACGGAGAGGCCGCACGCCGCACAGCCAAGCCGCUCCCGACAACAUAAUGGGCGGCUAAACCUGUAGACGUUUGUAUGCCGCGUAUGAGGACGCGGGUUCGACUCCCGCCACCUCCAUUC